GUCUACAGCCACACCAUCCUGAACAGGCAAGGUCUCAUCUGAUCUUGGAAGUCAAGCACGUUUGGGCAUGCUUAGUACUUGGAUGGGAGACCUUUUAGUAAAUCCUAUCGAUAGACU
This 117-nucleotide ribosomal RNA is filed under the name Nannospalax galili (Upper Galilee mountains blind mole rat). Lineage: Eukaryota; Metazoa; Chordata; Mammalia; Rodentia; Spalacidae. The record is from RNAcentral.